Oryzias melastigma (Indian medaka) is the source of this 6051-nucleotide long non-coding RNA. RefSeq lists it as uncharacterized. Lineage: Eukaryota; Metazoa; Chordata; Actinopteri; Beloniformes; Adrianichthyidae. The record is from RefSeq and is a predicted model, not a curated record. The transcript is spliced from 2 exons.
UAUAAAGUAACGCCUAAUCGAUUAUUAAAUUAGUCAUCGACUAUUUAAAUAGUCGAUUAGUCAUCGAUUAGUCGACUAAUUCUGGCAGCCCUAAUGAAAAAACAACUUUUUUUUGUAAAUCUAAAAGAAAUUGGUCUACCACGACCUAGAUACAACUAAUUGUUCUUUGCAAGACAAAUCUUGCAUAUAGAAUUUUUUUUCAGCAAUUUCCUACUGAGAUCUUCCUUGGUACUGUGGAGAUACUAUCAAUGCUCCACCCUGCUUAGGAAUCAAACAAGAUACAGAUAAAAUAUAUUCUAUUUUCUAGAUUUAUACAGAAAAAAAAUGAAAGUUUUGUCUCAUUAAAUUCUUUGACUUUCCGCCUUAGACUAUUCCAACUUUUUAAAGUCAAAGAAAAGCAGUAUUAAAAAAAAAACAACACACAUUUACUGAAAGAGAUUUGGUCCCGUAAGUCUCAAAUUUGAUCAGGGAUUCCUGUUAAUCUGGUUUUGCCAGCAGCCGCCAUUGCCCUGCUGCAUCGUACCUUCAUUAGCCCUAUUUAGGGCUCCUCCAUUCUGUGUGUGAGCUCCUAGAGCUGAUGGGAAACAAGAGAGGAGAAGAGAAAGAAGAGGAAGAGGGGAGGAUGAAUGUGAUCUGAUAUCCUUUGACAGGUGGUAUUUGGAACUGAAGGACUGCAGGCUUUAUUGCAUUCAUCGUGGAUUGAGAGGAAUAUAGGGAAGCCCUGUUUGCUUCAUGUUCAUCACACGUUAACUUCAGUCAUCCAGUCUCUGUUAAUAAGAGAGGAUUUGUUUUUGACAGACUCGUCUUCUAAACAAUUGUAUACCGUAAAAAUGCUACAACAAUCUUAACAAUCAGUCAAUUGUAGUCCCAUCUGAAAGAGAAGCUUGCAAUAAGACAAUUUGAAUUUAAUGUAGUGAUGAGGUUGUAUCUCAGUGGAUUUGUCUCUAGUUUAGCUGAAAGUUGCAGUUUAUGGUUUUUUUUUAAGAUGUAUCCAUUUAGUGUUCAUGAAGUGUUAUAAAUGGAAGAUGAUUUUGGAAUAUGUUAAUGGUCCAAAAAAGUAAUUUGUGAGAGUAAAAUGAGAAUUUGACCUUAUAUGUGAAUGUAUGUGAAGCCCGACUUUGAGCAAAAAUGUCCCUAAUUUGUCUAUUUGUGUGCUUUGUUUCGUUUCCAGCCAGUUGCUAGUGGUCAAGCCCAUUGAGAUACAAUCCUAAGCUACUAUGAGAAGCAGAAUGAGUGCAAUCGGAGCCCUUGCUCAAUAGAGUAAUAGAGUAUGUUUGUAGAGUACCAUGAGGAUAGGCGUCAUUCCCCACUGAGCCCGAACAGGAUGGAGGCAAAGUAGAAAUAGAUGCUAAUGCAUGGGUGUUUUACGAAAGCAGUGAUGUUGAUUUAACUGUUGGCCACACGUCGGAUUUCUGCUGAUCAGUUUGAGAGUCACUCUUUGUCUCUCACGUUAGCAACACAUCUGCGAUUUACCUGGAAACGGCCCUCUUUUCACCUGGAUCCACAUACCGGGAGGAUGUUCCAAACAAGGCAGUUUAUGGAGCUUAAAAAAUAAACAUCGUCUCCGGAGACGCACCUCAUCACAUGGAAUACUCCCUUGACAAGAUUGGACCCUUUACUGUGUAAAGAAUCUUUGAGUCUUUUCCCUUCUCCAAUGCUGAGGCGAGACAUGAAACACCGACUUGCUGAUAUUCAAGCCGUGUCCUAAGCAUGGGCGCUUCAGGUCAGCGUUUAAUCUGUCUGUGAUCUCCUAUUCUUUAUAGGGAAAGGGAUUUUGUUUCUGUCUGUCAUCUGCCACAUCUGCUCCUAAACCCAUUGGAUUUACGGUCCCAUAUGCUCACAUUUGUGCCACUGUGCUUUACAUUGCGCUCAAUAUGAGCACAUUGACACGUCAGUGGAUGUAAAUAAUAAAUGAAGACACUGUCCCACAUGGCCAGGAGGCAACUAGAGCUCUAUCAAUGAGGCCAAAGACGGAAAGUGGAUAUUUAUAAAUUAAGUGUCAUUUCUUUGGCAAAUGAUAAAGUUUAAUUAAUAAGAAGGGUGUGGGAUCAAACAGGGUAGGAUUUGGAUCCGAGAAAGUUUAGCUCUCACUGGAGUGCGUCCAUCGGUAACCCCUGAACUGAAUAAAUUCCAGAUGGAUCUUCAAAUAAAAGAAUGCUAGCUUAAAAUUAACAUCUCGCUGUUGAACAACUCAUAUAGUUGGGACCACCCUCGUGAAUAUCCUCAGUUGGAUCUAACCUGAACUAUCCACGGAUUCCUACUAGGCUUUGAUCAAGAAAUUCUAGAAGACACCAACAGAGAAUAACAAGAAGGAGUAUCCAGUUUGUUUCUGGGAAGAUGGAUCUGAUGUGUGACUUUAGGAAUCAGCUUGGAAAAUCCCAAUUCAAACAACCUAAAAGGAAGUUUGCCUGCUAUAAAAAAGUGGGACCCACUUCAAUCAGGACAAGGAUAAGAGUCCAUUAAACAUUGUGGUCCAACUGGAACUGGAGCUUCGCUGAGGUGUGACAGGAAAUACACUGAGUGAGGCGGGGCUGCGUGGGAAAAUGGAGCUAGCUAUCGUUCAACACAAUGAUAUGCUAGUGUGUUUGCACCAACAUGGAGCCUUCUGACAGGAAGCAGUGGAGCCAAGGAUCUGCCUGGGAGACAUGAAUGAUUUUGUGCUCAUCACUUGAUCAACAGGAUAAUCUGCUGAAGACAUGGUGUGUUCAUUUUAGUUUCAAACUACUCCAGUGCUCGAGAGACUUUUUCGGUUUGGUUCUGUCGGUGCUGUGAUAAAUAUGUGCUAAAAAGCUGGCUGGUAGUGUACAUCAGAAACAGUCUUGUGCAGAGUUAGUUCCAUCUCUGAUUUAUCAAAGUAAAAUGAGCCCAGAAAGAUAAGAAAAAGCAGGGGGGUUGGGAAGGGAAUUUUUGAGCUACCGAUUCAACAGCUUGCAAUUCCAUUUAGAAGUGAAAUCUUGAGAUUCCUUUAUGGAUUUAUCAACCUGCCAUAAAAUUAUGGAGGAAUUUUGUCUUGUUCUUAACAAAAGCAUUUCUGUUUGUUUUUGUUCUUGGACAUUUGUCAAUGUAGCGCCCUCACAAGGUCCUACUGCAGAUCUUGGUAGGUUGAGGUCUGGACUUAUGGAUUUUAACUGGAUCAUUGGGUCAUACUGAUUUUCCUCGUCUUUUUUUGAAAAACUUUGGGGUCAUGUGACCCAAUUACAAACAAGUUUCACUAUCAUUAAAAGUUUGUGUUAAAAUAAAAACUUUUGAACCUUCUGGUACACAGGAGUUAACGGUUGUCUCAGUAACAGCUACCCAAGUCCUAUGACUGCAAAACAAGCCCCAACCAUCACCUGUCUACCUCUGCGCUCAACAGUUGGAAUGUGGUCUUUUUUCUGAAUUUUCUCAUAGAUUUUCUUCAACUCUAGUGUGAGGAAUUCUGACAUAACCUAUAAUUGUUCUUAUUAUGGGAAUGUUGAGAAUAAUAGUGUGUUCAGGUAUUGUUUGUAAUCAAAGUCAUGCUUUUGUGUUCUCAUUAGAAGAGACCUCCUCCUUGAAACUCUACAAACGUUUUAAACUCAGUCUUUCCCCCGGGUGCUAUUAUGGAUUUAAACAUUGAAUACAUUACCCAGACCAUGCUCUAAGAAGGUCUCUGGGAUGAUGAUGUUUGCUUUCAUCUGACUUUGAUGCAAUCUAACCUUGAACAUUGUACCUGAGAAAACCUGAGAACUGUAAUAAAUGUUCUUAGUAUUGAAUAGCCUUUUCAACAUAACGGUCCAGCUAAUUUAAAAGCAACAGCUGAUUUUCUAAGUGUGCGGCCAAGUUUCUCCAUGCUUACUUCCUUUCAUUCUGAAAGUAAAAUGCUGCAAUGUCUACUGAAUAUCAAAUCAUUUUGAUCUUAUGAGAUGAGAACAGAAGGAGGGUACCUAAUAUUAACACUUGUCUUUCUGGCUUCAUUUCGAUUAAAUAAAUAAUUCAAAGAGAAUUUUUAGAAAAUGCAGAGAAGACUAUUGGAUCAAUGGAAAAGGAUCUAACUUUUGCACAACUGUGAAAGUGACAAGUUCUUAAUGUGUUCAGGAUGAACCAUUUAAAGACCUGAACUUGAUGAAAAAGCUGUGUUCUUCCUGUAGUUUUUAAACACAUGUAAAUCCACAGUUCAGCCAUGAAUCAAAGAUGUAUUGUUUCUGUGUUAUGAACCCCCAGCUAUUAUUUUACAGAGGAUUCAUUGUUUGUCAAUGCUUGCCGCAUCUUUUUUUUUGGGUCAGAUCUAGUUAUAGCAUGUGUGCCUGAAGCUUAAACUGUCCUUAAGUUAAAGAAAUAUUAACAAGUAAUUCUAAAAUUUUAAAACAAACUCCACUGUCUUUAUACUUUAUAUGCAGUGAUGUGCUAAAAAUGAUCUUGUCCUCAUCAAUGACUCAAACUAGGUCAAUACAGGCUAAAGUAAAUAACUACAAAUUAAUUCCCACAACACUCUUUAGAUAUUUACAAAAAUGUAGGAUAAACACAGGCUUUAACAGCUUUUACAGACUUUAAUUGUUUCUUUGAGUGCCAGAGAUGAAAGCAACCCAAACCAAAGGAAUAUUUACCAUUUAAAACCAUUCUCCUUCUAUCCCAGUUCAAGGAAUUGCCAAAAAAAUCUUUUUCGCAGAGAGGUUUAUGUUUGGCUUAGUGACAGCAGUGUCUUCAGGUACUGUUGCUGUCAAACAAGCCAACAGCCAUCCACCAUCAUGCUAAACCUUUGCUUUGGUUGGCUGAAUUGCUUUGAAAAGUUUUAAAUGUAUUUAGAAGUCAAAUCCAUAUGUCUAAAGUACUUCUCAUACCAAUAUACGCUUUAGAGAUAGGUGAGAGUAUUCCACCGGCUGAAACUAAAGGCCCUACUUAGUUCUCCAAUGUUUUAAAGAACAGCUCUCUUAACAUUGACUCUUGAGAGUCACUAAUUUGCUAAAUGAUAAAGCAGUAUUAGUUAUCUUCUUUGUCCUGUGCAACAGUUGAACUUACCUGGAUAACAUCUGGGAAGGACCUCAUUGUUCAUAAAAAAGUAAAAUUUAAAGAGAUUUUCUUUUUCUUUUUUGCUACAAAGUGUAGUCUAUAAUUCUGACUACUGCCAUUAGAGCCACUUGCAGAAUACUUUCUACUUGUAGAGACAAAUCAUGAGUAUGAGUCUAAUAUGUGUACCACCUUGCAACCAUAGCUUUGUUCCAUGUUUUGUCCAACACCAAAGUAAAUUUAUAUUGCACUAGCACCAUUAGAUUCAGUGGAGGCCUUGUGCAGUGAGUAUUUGAGGGCAGUUCCACAUUCUUUGCAAACUUGCCAAAUUCCAUUUUGUCUGGAGUUGACUGCCAACCAAAGACAGGAAGCAAGCGAAAGCGUGAGGGAAUCAAAAGAACAAUGACUCAGUGAGUGUGAGAGACUGCAUCACAAAAACACAACGGCCCCGCUCUCAUCAGCCGGGCCCGAGUACCCCAGCCAAGCCUGACAGUUCAUCUCAAAGCAUCAAAGCAUGAUGGGAAAAUACCAGCGUCCACAGCGGGCAAAUGUGUGUCUGACCAGACCUUGUUUUCACUGCAAAUGCCCUUCAACUCACUUGGCCCUAAAAUAGAUUAUUGGAAAAAGUUAAUCCUUUCUGUGUCAGCUUAAAAAAACAAUUAUGUCAUUUAUGAGGCCGGCUGCUUAACACCUCCUCUUAGAAGACAAUUCUUUUGAUAAUCUAAUAACCUGAUAUUUAUAUCACCAAUACUAUCUAGAAGAAAGAGCUAAACACUUUUAUCAUCCAAUGGUUGUAGUUGGAGGAUAUAAAUAGUUUGGACCCAAUAUUUUGACAUUUUGAUCAGAGAAAAAAAAGGAGACCAACUUUCUCAGAGUUUUUAAGAGUACUCUCUUUUAUUAACUCAGAAACAAUGUUUAUCUUUGGAAUCAAAAGAAGAGCUGAGAAGAUUUCUCUGUUACAAUGAACAGUAUCUUACGCACUUCAUUGUUAUAUUCAAUUAAACUUUAUUUGUCCUUUUUCCUUGAAACAAAAACCCACCAUUUGUAAUUCCUACUACACGUCACUCAGUAGUAAAAUAAUAAUAA